AGAGUUUGAUCAUGGCUCAGGAUGAACGCUGGCGGCGUGCCUAAUACAUGCAAGUCGAACGAGGUGCUUUUGUAGCAAUACGAGAGUAUCCUAGUGGCGAACGGGUGAGUAACGCGUUGGUGACCUACCCCAAAGUGUGGGAUAACAGUCCGAAAGGAUUGCUAAUACCGCAUGUGGUCUUCGGGUUUAGAAACUGAUGACUAAAGGAGCAAUUCGCUUUGGGAGGGACCUGCGUCCCAUCAGCUAGUUGGUGAGGUAAUGGCUCACCAAGGCUACGACGGGUAGGGGACCUGAGAGGGUGACCCCCCACAAUGGAACUGAAACACGGUCCAUACACCUACGGGUGGCAGCAGUAGGGAAUAUUGCACAAUGGGCGAAAGCCUGAUGCAGCAACGCCGCGUGUGCGAUGAGGGCCUUCGGGUCGUAAAGCACUUUUCUGGGAGAUGAGCAAGGACAGUAUCUCAGGAAUAAGUCUCGGCUAACUACGUG
This 489-nucleotide ribosomal RNA is filed under the name uncultured bacterium. RNAcentral describes it as "bacterial SSU rRNA". It matches the Rfam family "Bacterial small subunit ribosomal RNA", at positions 8 to 507 of the family's 1533-position model. The record is from RNAcentral.